AGUGAACGCUGGCGGUAGGCCUAACACAUGCAAGUCGAACGGCAGCACAGUAAGAGCUUGCUCUUACGGGUGGCGAGUGGCGGACGGGUGAGGAAUACAUCGGAAUCUACUUUUUCGUGGGGGAUAACGUAGGGAAACUUACGCUAAUACCGCAUACGACCUACGGUUGAAAGCAGGGGAUCUUCGGACCUUGCGCGAUUGAAUGAGCCGAUGUCGGAUUAGCUAGUUGGCGGGGUAAAGGCCCACCAAGGCGACGAUCCGUAGCUGGUCUGAGAGGAUGGUCAGCCACACUGGAACUGAGACACGGUCCAGACUCCUAAGGGAGGCAGCAGUGGGGAAUAUUGGACAAUGGGCGCAAGCAUGAUCCAGCCAUACCGCGUGGGUGAAGAAGGCCUUCGGGUUGUAAAGCCCUUUUGUGGGGAAAGAAAAGCAGCAGGUUAAUACCCAGCUGUUCUGACGGUACCCAAAGAAUAAGCACCGGCUAACUUCGUG
RNAcentral lists this ribosomal RNA (492 nucleotides) under uncultured bacterium. Its description in RNAcentral is "partial 16S ribosomal RNA". It matches the Rfam family "Bacterial small subunit ribosomal RNA", at positions 29 to 507 of the family's 1533-position model. The record is from RNAcentral.